This is a small nucleolar RNA of Coregonus clupeaformis (lake whitefish), 68 nucleotides long. NCBI's taxonomy places the organism in Eukaryota, Metazoa, Chordata, Actinopteri, Salmoniformes, Salmonidae. The record is from RefSeq and is a predicted model, not a curated record.
CUUGGUGUGAUGACAGCUUUAGCUUGAGACUUUACUGAUAUUUGAUGUAUUCAUACUCUCUGACCUAA